GAUGAAGAACGUAGCGAAAUGAGAUAAGUAAUGUGAAUUGCAGAAUUCAGUGAAUCAUCGAAUCUUUGAACGCACCUUGCGCCCUUUGGCUAUUCCAGAGGGCAUGCCUGUUUGAGUAUCAUGAACACCUCAACUCUCAUGGUUCUGCCAUGAUGAGCUUGGACUUUGGAGGUCUUGCUGGCCCCUGUGGUCAGCUCCUCUCAAAUGGAUCAGCUUGCCAGUGUUUGGUGGCAUCACAGGUGUGAUAACUAUCUACGCUUGUGGUUUUCCACCAGGUAACCUUCAGUGAUGGAGGUUCGCUGGAGCUCAUAAACGUCUCUCCUCAGCGAGGACAGCUUCUUGAACGUUUGAUCUCAAAUCAGGUAGGGCUACCCGCUGAACUUAAGCAUAUCAAUAACGGAGGA
RNAcentral lists this unclassified non-coding RNA (404 nucleotides) under soil metagenome. RNAcentral's name for it is "partial contains 5.8S ribosomal RNA, internal transcribed spacer 2, and large subunit ribosomal RNA". The stretch from base 1 to 121 matches the Rfam family "5.8S ribosomal RNA", at positions 35 to 154 of the family's 154-position model. The record is from RNAcentral.